This 289-nucleotide long non-coding RNA is filed under the name Gallus gallus (chicken). RNAcentral describes it as "long non-coding RNA NONGGAT007305". Lineage: Eukaryota; Metazoa; Chordata; Aves; Galliformes; Phasianidae. The record is from RNAcentral.
GCCUCCUCUCAGUGCGCAGAUGCUAUCAUUUAAAUUGGAUGUUGUACGAAGAGCAAUCUGCAAGGUGUGUUCUGACACUUAGCCUCCUGCUGCCAUGCCCUCUGCCUUCCCUUUUGACUGUUUUAUCUGGCUCAAAAGAAUCUGUCAGUCAAGGUACCCAAGGACUUACCCUGACUUGUACCUCUGAAUUAGCUAGAAGAAGCCAAGGUGAUGCAUCUUUCCACUUACACCUGCAAAAAUGCACAAGAGACUUAUAACCGAGACAUAGCCUGAAGAAAGUUAAUGAGAU